This 1143-nucleotide ribosomal RNA is filed under the name Triticum aestivum (bread wheat). Its description in RNAcentral is "partial small subunit ribosomal RNA". Lineage: Eukaryota; Viridiplantae; Streptophyta; Magnoliopsida; Poales; Poaceae. The record is from RNAcentral.
AUGUCUGAUCGUAGCGGCCAGCGGCAAUGCCGCCGAGGCGUCUCGGGCGACGUCGAGCUCGACGCGGCCAUGGCACUGGCCAACAUGGCCGGCGUUUCGGGGCCAGCAGCUCUUCCCGCCGCGCACCCGGCGGCGCCGCAGCAUGGCGCCAGCCGCGAGGAGGAGGAGGAGCUGGCGAGCACGAGGCUGAGCCUGGAGCUGGGCAAGGUCGGCAUCCAGGCGUCGUCGUGCUCCAGCAGCUCCAGCGCCGGGUGUCCCUCGCAGCAGGCGCGGGUGGCCGCGGCGGCUCCAGGUGGAGGCGGCUACGGCCCAAGGCCCCGGCAUACGCUCACCGAGGCUGAGAAGGAGGCAAAGCGGCUGCGGCGCGUGCUCGCGAACCGGGAGUCUGCGCGCCAAACCAUACUCCGCCGUCAGGCGAUCCGAGACGAACUGGCGAGGAAAGUUGCGGACUUGUCGUCACAAAACGAGAGCAUGAAGAAGGAGAAGGAGACGGCGAUGCAAGAGUAUCUCACACUCCAGGAGACGAACAAGCAGCUGAAAGAACAGGUUAUUGCGAAGACGGCAGAGAAGGCGCCGCCGCCGGUGGUAACGUCCAUGGACACGACGCCACCAGCGGAGCAGCGGGCAGAAGCCACGCUGUCCACGGCGGCCCCGCUGGACGCACCCCCUGGGCCGGGCUUCCUUUACGCAACAGCUGGGCCCCCAGCCGUGCCGGUGCCGUAUGUCUGGGGCUCUUGGCCGGGGUACAAUCCGAACGCCAGCAACCCGGGCGGCGCCAUCAGCACUGGACAUGCCCCGCCGCUCUGCUUUCCGCCCUGCGCGUGGUACUACCCCGUCGUCACCGACCCACAUGGUUCGCCGGCGGCAUCUUACGCGCAGCCGCUCCAUGAGACAACGAGCGGGGGCGCCAGCCAGGGUACCUGCGGCGGAACGGCCGAUGAGGACACCGACGACGACCCGUGCUCGCUCACGCUGGGGCUUGACGUCGACAGGAAGUGUGCGACGAGCGCCGAGAGCGGCGGCAGCCGUGCUGUGGCGGGAGACAGAGAGAGGGCGGUGAUGGCAGCGGAGGCGAGAAAGAGGAGGAAGGAGCUGACGAAGAUGAAGCAGACGCAUCUCGGCGGCCGUCCUGGAGACGAGUAG